RNAcentral lists this ribosomal RNA (451 nucleotides) under uncultured bacterium. RNAcentral's name for it is "partial 16S ribosomal RNA". It matches the Rfam family "Bacterial small subunit ribosomal RNA", at positions 29 to 523 of the family's 1533-position model. The record is from RNAcentral.
AACGAACGCUGGCGGCAGGCUUAACACAUGCAAGUCGAACGGGCAUAGCAAUAUGUCAGUGGCAGACGGGUGAGUAACACGUGGGAACCUUCCUAGAGGUACGGAACAACGCAGGGAAACUUGUGCUAAUACCGUAUACGCUCGAGAGAGGAAAGAUUUAUCGCCUUUAGACGGGCCCGCGUAGGAUUAGGUAGUUGGUGAGGUAACGGCUCACCAAGCCUACGAUCCUUAGCUGAUCUGAGAGGAUGAUCAGCCACACUGGGACUGAGACACGGCCCAGACUCCUACGGGAGGCAGGAGGGGGGAAUCUUGGACAAUGGGCGCACGCCUGAUCCGGCCAUGCCGCGUGAGUGAAGAAGGCCUUCGGGUUGUAAAGCUCUUUUACCAGGGACGAUAAUGACGGUACCUGGAGAAUAAGCCCCGGCUAACUUCGUGCCAGCCGCCGCCGUAA